UAAUGUAUGGGGAUCUGCCCGAUAGAGGGGAUAACUACUGGAAACGGUGGCUAAUACCGCAUAAUGUCUACGGACCAAAGCAGGGGCUCUUCGGACCUUGCACUAUCGGAUGAACCCAUAUGGGAUUAGCUAGUAGUGGGGUAAAGGCUCACCUAGGCGACGAUCUCUAGCUGGUCUGAGAGGAUGAUCAGCCACACUGGGACUGAGACACGGCCCAG
This 218-nucleotide ribosomal RNA is filed under the name uncultured bacterium. RNAcentral's name for it is "partial 16S ribosomal RNA". It matches the Rfam family "Bacterial small subunit ribosomal RNA", at positions 111 to 334 of the family's 1533-position model. The record is from RNAcentral.